GGGGAGGUGGCUCAGAGGUUAAGAGCACUGACUGUUCUUCCAGAGGUCCUGAGUUCAAUUCCCAGCAACCACA
This is a transfer RNA of Neotoma lepida (desert woodrat), 73 nucleotides long. It matches the Rfam family "tRNA". Rfam says of the family: Transfer RNA (tRNA) molecules are approximately 80 nucleotides in length. Their secondary structure includes four short double-helical elements and three loops (D, anti-codon, and T loops). Further hydrogen bonds mediate the characteristic L-shaped molecular structure. tRNAs have two regions of fundamental functional importance: the anti-codon, which is responsible for specific mRNA codon recognition, and the 3' end, to which the tRNAs corresponding amino acid is attached (by aminoacyl-tRNA synthetases). tRNAs cope with the degeneracy of the genetic code in two manners: having more than one tRNA (with a specific anti-codon) for a particular amino acid; and 'wobble' base-pairing, i.e. permitting non-standard base-pairing at the 3rd anti-codon position. Lineage: Eukaryota; Metazoa; Chordata; Mammalia; Rodentia; Cricetidae. The record is from Rfam.